AGCGCUGCUGGGCGGCCGGCGCUGGGACAGGAGGAGUAGAGCUGCUCCUCGCAGGCUGACCGCGGCGGGUACAUCGCGUCAUGGUGGAAAGUGCCCUCUCGCCUCUGGCUGCCGUAAUAUUCCGGCGAGUGACUGGGAAGCUACAGAAGAACUAAUUGUCCCAUGUCUGAUGUAUGCCAUUAAAGUGAGAGAAACGAUGAAAAAUGCAAAGGAAAAUCCCCGCCUACCUGCACGAGUUUCCCUUUGUGUAUGGAAUGGACCCAAACUUACGUAGAUCUGCUUUAUUGACCCUUAUUUUCGAGGCCGCCGCGAGCUGCCCUCUCCGAAGAAACCACCCACAUAAUAAUGACCCUGGAGAGCAACGCAAAACCCAACUGGCUUCCACACAAACUUCACCAAAUGACGGGGCUCGCCUGAGGAGCAGGCGAACUGGCAAAAGCUUCUGUGAGGGGAGAAAAAAUAAACCACCACAACGACCCACAAAGGGUUUGGUAUUUUUUUAAAGGCAGUAUCUAAAAGCCUCCACCACCAAGCUCCUGCAAAAUCCUUCACUCCAAGUCUACUAUCUCCAGGUGACCUUAAAGGCUUUAUUUUUCCUUCUUACUCCAAUGUUUUAUUUUUCCUUUUCUUCCUUAUUUCCUUUCUUAUUUUAAUCCUCUGUUUCUUUCUUAAUCUCUCUCCCCCCCCCCCUUAUUUCUUUCUAUUUUCUUCCUCUAUUUCUUCCGUUCAUUCUCUCUCAAUGUGUCUACCUUUUCCCCAUCCCUUUUUUUCUCUCCCUUUCACCUUUACACUACGCUUUUCAAGGAAAAUUGUCACUUAUACAGAUUUCCACCAUCUCUGAUUUCUUAAAGUGCCUCCCUUCUUCAUCACCCCACCCUUUUCUUUCUCCCCCACCCCUGAAUAGAGGAUAUGUGGAAUGGAAUAGAAAAGGCAGCUUAACAAAUGCAUUUUCUCAAAGAAAAUAUUAAACGAAGAGAAGCGUAUUAUUCCCUUACCUUUUGACGUCCAUUUCUGUGGCAUAAGUAAAAUAGGGAGGGAGAGGGAGACAGCGUUUGCUUAUCUGUUAGCUGACAAAUAUUGUCCCAACCUGAGAGCCGUCGAUCGCCUCUCUGACUUGUGAGAGCUUCUUGCAUUUCUGUCAUUUGCAUAGAAAAUGGAGCAACUUCCCUCUUUGAAAAAUGAUAGCCUCCACUCGGUCCAGAACCUCCUCUGCCCCUCCAUGACUACCGAGAUUCCAGAUCAGCAGCAAAUUAAGAGAGGAAUUAAAAUAAUAAUAAAAAAUCAAAAUAAA
Neopsephotus bourkii (Bourke's parrot) is the source of this 1291-nucleotide long non-coding RNA. RefSeq lists it as uncharacterized. The record is from RefSeq and is a predicted model, not a curated record. The transcript is spliced from 4 exons. Lineage: Eukaryota; Metazoa; Chordata; Aves; Psittaciformes; Psittacidae.